This 73-nucleotide transfer RNA is filed under the name Stegodyphus mimosarum. It matches the Rfam family "tRNA". Rfam says of the family: Transfer RNA (tRNA) molecules are approximately 80 nucleotides in length. Their secondary structure includes four short double-helical elements and three loops (D, anti-codon, and T loops). Lineage: Eukaryota; Metazoa; Arthropoda; Arachnida; Araneae; Eresidae. The record is from Rfam by way of RNAcentral.
GCCUACGUGGGGUAAUGGUCAGCACGCUCGCCCCUUAUUCGAGUAGUCCAGGGUUCGAGUCCCGGCGAGGGCA